CGAUGAUGGUUCUGAUGAAACCCAUAUGGUGCUGUGUGCCCUUGCACCGUCCCCUUCAAUUAGGAUUUCAAUCGAUCCCCUCCCACAAGGCCCCCAAAUGGUUUCCAAGAUUGCUCGCCAUCUCCUUCAAUGUUGUCGACCGCUGCAACCAAGCUGAUCACCAACGAUCACAUAGAAAAGGCCCUAAGCACAAAUCUUAAAGCAUCAAUAGUAACACACAACGAUCACAAUAGUAACUAUGCUCCUUCGUUUGUUUCCUUUCCUCUACCCCCAAAGUC
RNAcentral lists this long non-coding RNA (278 nucleotides) under Elaeis guineensis (African oil palm). RNAcentral describes it as "long non-coding RNA (EGUI_LNC017384)". Lineage: Eukaryota; Viridiplantae; Streptophyta; Magnoliopsida; Arecales; Arecaceae. The record is from RNAcentral.